RNAcentral lists this ribosomal RNA (418 nucleotides) under Bacillus sp. WMB21. RNAcentral's name for it is "SSU rRNA". It matches the Rfam family "Bacterial small subunit ribosomal RNA", at positions 362 to 771 of the family's 1533-position model. The record is from RNAcentral. Lineage: Bacteria; Bacillati; Bacillota; Bacilli; Caryophanales; Bacillaceae.
UCUUCCGCAAUGGACGAAAGUCUGACGGAGCAACGCCGCGUGAGUGAUGAAGGCUUUCGGGUCGUAAAACUUUGUUGUUAGGGAAGAACAAGUGCUAGUUGAAUAAGCUGGCACCUUGACGGUACCUAACCAGAAAGCCACGGCUAACUACGUGCCAGCAGCCGCGGUAAUACGUAGGUGGCAAGCGUUAUCCGGAAUUAUUGGGCGUAAAGCGUGCGCAGGUGGUUUCUUAAGUCUGAUGUGAAAGCCCACGGCUCAACCGUGGAGGGUCAUUGGACACUGGGAGACUUGAGUGCAGAAGAGGAAAGUGGAAUUCCAUGUGUAGCGGUGAAAUGCGUAGAGAUAUGGAGGAACACCAGUGGCGAAGGCGACUUUCUGGUCUGUAACUGACACUGAGGCGCGAAAGCGUGAGGAGCAA